RNAcentral lists this long non-coding RNA (210 nucleotides) under Mytilus galloprovincialis (Mediterranean mussel). Lineage: Eukaryota; Metazoa; Mollusca; Bivalvia; Mytilida; Mytilidae. The record is from RNAcentral.
AGCGUACUUCAAUAUUGUAUUCGGGUUCCUUAUCGGUUGUUGUCCAUACAUCAUUGUCCCAUUAGGUUUCUUUUUAGUUUUAUUUCCAUUAUACACGAAAAGUUACAACGAAAAUCACUAAUGCAGAACAACGCAACAAGAUACACCACAUCAAAAUUUAAGACAAUUAAAAAUGAAACAAAGAAAAAAUCGAUGAAAAGCAUUUCCCCC